CACAGUUUGGUUCAUUUCUGUGCAUGUGUUGCUCGUUUCCCUAGUGGGCCAUUGCACUGUACCUGAUCAGAGAUGGAGCAGAGAUCGGAUCAUAGGAAGACAGCCUAUUUUCACUUCUGCUCCCAUGAAUGGAAAUGCUGAUGAUUGUUAACGGUUCUCAUUGCAGGUGUGCUUUGCUCCCAGCCUGUGUCUGCGCAGUCUGCAGGGUCACUCUGCUACAGGGGGUUCACAGCAGAGAUCUGGGAGGUGGUAGUGUGCUUCCAGUCGACAGCCAAAUCUGGCAGGUUCUCCAGAAGGCUGGACGUCAGUGGUCUGCGAUGAGAUGUAGUUCUCAAUGCCAGCUUCCGUCCUUCGUUGCUGCAAGGUGCCCCAAGGAUGGCAGGUAUUUCAGGGCUGCCUCAGUGACACCAGCAAACGAGGGAACAGCCAGAGCAGAAGCCCGCUGCGAUGCUGCAUAGUCACAGUGACUCAAGUCAAG
Molecule: long non-coding RNA, 478 nt
Filed under: Struthio camelus australis
Lineage: Eukaryota; Metazoa; Chordata; Aves; Struthioniformes; Struthionidae
Description: lncRNA (ENSSCUG00000005841.1)
Source: RNAcentral